GCGANUGGGCGAAGCCUGACGCAGCGACGCCGCGUGAGGGAAGAAGGCCUUCGGGUUGUAAACCUCUUUCAGGAGGGACGAAGCUACUCGGGUUAAUAGCCCAGAGGGUGACGGUACCUCCAGAAGAAGCCCCGGCUAACUACGUGCCAGCAGCCGCGGUAAUACGUAGGGGGCAAGCGUUGUCCGGAUUUAUUGGGCGUAAAGCGCGUGUAGGCGGCCAGAUAAGUCCGCUGUGAAAACUCGAAGCUCAACUUCGAGCUGUCGGUGGAAACUAUCUGGCUAGAGUCCGGAAGAGGAGAGUGGAAUUCCUGGUGUAGCGGUGAAAUGCGCAGAUAUCAGGAAGAACACCCGUGGCGAAGGCGGCUCUCUGGUAUGGAACUGACGCUGAGACGCGAAAGCGUGGGGAGCGAACAGGAUUAGAUACCCUGGUAGUCCACGCCGUAAACGAUGGGUGCUAGGUGUGGGGGGUGUCAACUCCCUCCGUGCCGAAGCUAACGCAUUAAGCACCCCGCCUGGGGAGUACGGCCGCAAGGCUAAAACUCAAAAAAAUUGACGGA
This 557-nucleotide ribosomal RNA is filed under the name uncultured bacterium. RNAcentral's name for it is "bacterial SSU rRNA". It matches the Rfam family "Bacterial small subunit ribosomal RNA", at positions 366 to 917 of the family's 1533-position model. The record is from RNAcentral.